This 466-nucleotide ribosomal RNA is filed under the name uncultured bacterium. RNAcentral's name for it is "partial 16S ribosomal RNA". It matches the Rfam family "Bacterial small subunit ribosomal RNA", at positions 29 to 506 of the family's 1533-position model. The record is from RNAcentral.
ACGAACGCUGGCGGCGUGCUUAACCCAUGCAAGUCGAACGGAAAGGCCCUGCUUUUGUGGGGUGCUCGAGUGGCGAACGGGUGAGUAACACGUGAGUAACCUGCCCUUGACUUUGGGAUAACUUCAGGAAACUGGGGCUAAUACCGGAUAGGAGCUCCUGCUGCAUGGUGGGGGUUGGAAAGUUUCGGCGGUUGGGGAUGGACUCGCGGCUUAUCAGCUUGUUGGUGGGGUAGUGGCUUACCAAGGCUUUGACGGGUAGCCGGCCUGAGAGGGUGACCGGCCACAUGGGGACUGAGAUACGGCCCAGACUCCUACGGGAGGCAGCAGUGGGGAAUAUUGCACAAUGGGCGGAAGCCUGAUGCAGCAACGCCGCGUGCGGGAUGACGGCCUUCGGGUGGUAAACCGCUUUCGCCUGUGACGAAGCGUGAGUGACGGUAAUGGGUAAAGAAGCACCGGCUAACUACGU